GACGAACGCUGGCGGCGUGCUUAACACAUGCAAGUCGAACGGAAAGACCCUGCUUUUGUGGGGUGCUCGAGUGGCGAACGGGUGAGUAACACGUGAGUAACCUGCCCUUGACUUUGGGAUAACUUCAGGAAACUGGGGCUAAUACCGGAUAGGAGCUCCUGCUGCAUGGUGGGGGUCGGAAAGUUUCGGCGGUUGGGGAUGGACUCGCGGCUUAUCAGCUUGUUGGUGGGGUAGUGGCUUACCAAGGCUUUGACGGGUAGCCGGCCUGAGAGGGUGACCGGCCACAUUGGGACUGAGAUACGGCCCAGACUCCUACGGGAGGCAGCAGUGGGGAAUAUUGCACAAUGGGCGGAAGCCUGAUGCAGCAACGCCGCGUGCGGGAUGACGGCCUUCGGGUUGUAAACCGCUUUCGCCUGUGACGAAGCGUGAGUGACGGUAAUGGGUAAAGAAGCACCGGCUAACUACGUG
RNAcentral lists this ribosomal RNA (468 nucleotides) under uncultured bacterium. RNAcentral's name for it is "partial 16S ribosomal RNA". It matches the Rfam family "Bacterial small subunit ribosomal RNA", at positions 28 to 507 of the family's 1533-position model. The record is from RNAcentral.